UAAUACGGAGGGUGCAAGCGUUGUCCGGAUUCAUUGGGUUUAAAGGGUGCGUAGGCGGGACAUUAAGUCCGAGGUGAAAGACGGUUGCUCAACAAUCGCAGUGCCUUGGAUACUGGUGUUCUUGGGUGAAGUUGAGGUGGGCGGAAUUCAAGGUGUAGCGGUGAAAUGCAUAGAUACCUUGAAGAACUCCGAUUGCGAAGGCAGCCCACUGGACUUCUACCGACGCUGAGGCACGAAAGCGUGGGGAUCAAACAGGAUUAGAUACCCUGGUAGUCCACGCCGUAAACGAUGAUUACUCGCUGUGGGGGCGUAGGCUUCCGCGGCUUAGCGAAAGCGUUAAGUAAUCCACCUGGGGAGUACGCUCGCAAGGGUG
Molecule: ribosomal RNA, 373 nt
Filed under: uncultured bacterium
Lineage: Bacteria
Description: bacterial SSU rRNA
Rfam family: Bacterial small subunit ribosomal RNA
Source: RNAcentral